RNAcentral lists this ribosomal RNA (365 nucleotides) under Ditylum brightwellii. RNAcentral's name for it is "partial Bacterial large subunit ribosomal RNA". It matches the Rfam family "Bacterial large subunit ribosomal RNA", at positions 13 to 360 of the family's 2925-position model. The record is from RNAcentral. Lineage: Eukaryota; Bacillariophyta; Thalassiosirophyceae; Lithodesmiales; Lithodesmiaceae.
AAGGGCACACGGUGGAUGCCUUGGCACCAGGAGCCGAUGAAGGACGUAGGAGGCUGCGAUAAGCCUCGGGGAGCUGUCAACCGAGCGUUGAUCCGAGGAUUUCCGAAUGGGGGAACCCCGCACCAGUCAUGUGGUGUGACCCGCGCCUGAAUAUAUAGGGCGUGUGGAGGGAACGUGGGGAAGUGAAACAUCUCAGUACCCACAGGAAGAGAAAACAACCGUGAUUCCGUGAGUAGUGGCGAGCGAAAGCGGAUGAGGCUAAACCAUGUGCAUGUGAUAGCCGGCAGGCGUUGUGCAUGUGGGGUCGUGGGACGUUCUUGUUGACACUGCCGUGUCGACGGAGAGUCAGAAAAGUGUGUCGUUAG